Molecule: unclassified non-coding RNA, 2808 nt
Filed under: Leishmania donovani
Lineage: Eukaryota; Euglenozoa; Kinetoplastea; Trypanosomatida; Trypanosomatidae
Description: gene:LdHU3.18.0170(CDS-product:Lipase_(class_3)_p utative)
Source: RNAcentral
CUGAAUCUCCACACAAAGGAGGUUGCAGCUCAUCGUGCCGCAGCACCGCUUCCUGAUGUUUUCUACACGCCUGCAAGCGGCUCUCUCUCCGUGCAGAACUGCUUCUGCCUUCAGCGUCUGUGAGUGCUUGAUUAGAGGAGAGGGUCGCUGAUUCAAGGUGAACGAUGCCGUCCUUGGUGUGGCUCGGGCGGGCGUGGCGGGUCGGCUCCGAUGACUUCGCCUUCUCAAGCGUCUUGCACGCCAUGCUGCUCGCUGGCAGCGCCGCCCUCGUCGCAUGCCGGGUGAACACCGCUCGACUCAACUGCCUCGACGACUGCGAUGGCGCCAGUGUCACGUGGGGGCGUGCCAUGAUGGGACUUUUCUUCGCGAACCUUGUCGGCGCAGCUCCGUUUUUGCUUACCGCAGUCUACAGUCUGCGCGGUGGCGUCUUUGAGAUCUCCAAACGGAAGGCGGUGCCUAAGCUGCUGUACAUCAACACCGCCUGCAUAGCGUGGAUCUUUCUGCUUUCUUGCCUGGGUGCCAAGCACGCCAUUAUUGACGGCGAGGCCAGUUACUGCACCCGGGCGUCGACGCGGCACAUGCUGCGUGGCGCCAUCAUGAUUGACCUCAUUAACUGUGUGCUCUACAUUGCCUUGCUCAUCGUCGCAUUCGAUCCUAGCGGACGACGCGUGUACCAAAGCAGCAGCGACUACACCAACGCGUGGUGGAACCGGUUCCGCAUUUGCUGCUGCCGCUUCGGGAAGUGGAACCAGGCGGAGGACGCCUACAUACACCUCGCACAGGUCUUCGCCAUUGCGUUUCGCGGGUACGACAUCGUGCCCAGCGACAUUGCCGCGGGCAUCCUCCUCUUGCACGGCUAUCAGAGCCGCUCUCGCCGAUUGCUAUCUCGUCUGGUCAACUACGGGCCCAACCCGAAAGGGUAUCAUGAGCGCCUGUCGAGCCAGGCCAGGCCGGCGCAGCGCCUCACACCUGAACAGCGCGCCUGGGCGCAUGAGCUGCAGCAGUACAGUCGGUUCUUCAUUGCGGCGUACGGAUGGCUCCUCUUUGAGUUCCAGCAUUUCGGCUCAGGCCUUGCGCGACUCUGCUGUUUUGACCCGUGCAUGUGCUGCCGGCACCACCCUGGCCGGCACAUUGGUCAGAGCUGCUUUUGCGACGUGGCUGCGCUCCUGCACGAGACUCUCGUUCCCGAGGCCGAUGUGCUGCUCACGAGCUGGGAAAACAGGGUCUUCAAGCCGGUGCACUAUGUCGCCUACGACCGCAGCAGCGACGCCGUCGUAAUCGCAAUCCGUGGCAGCAUGUCAAUCGAAGACUGUGUCACGGACCUUGCCGCGCUGCCCGUGACACUGUCGCUGCGCGACACGCCGCCCGACGUGCCUAUCAGCGAAUACUAUGCACACGGUGGCAUGGUGCGGUGUGCCUACUACGUGCUCGACAAUCUCUGCGAGCACGGUAUUCUGCAGCAGCUUCUGCGCGGCAGCUUUGCUGGGAAAAAGGUAGUGGUGCUGGGGCACUCGCUCGGUGCCGGAGUUGCUCUCAUUCUGUCAGCGAUCCUUUGGUCUGAUCACACGGUGCUACGGAACCGCCUGCGCUGUCUCGCCUAUGCACCGCCUGGCGGAACCGUUUCGAAGUCGCUGAUGGAGUACCAGAAGGGCUUUGUGGCGGCAGCGUGCAUGGGCUACGAUAUGAUUCCGCGUCUGGCGCAACACACCUUUGACUCCUUCCGUGAGGCCAUCUUCGACGUUCUGGCCGCCUCGGCUAUGAACAAGAACAUGAUCUUCAUGAAUGUCCUGCGCACCAGCACGAUUGCAAAGUCGUUCCACCCAUCCACUUCGGCUGACUUUCAGCAGAGGCGCUCGGCGGAGAGCGCGUCGCUCCGUGAAUUCCUGCAGAGCACCUCGUUCGUGCCGACGUAUGAGACUCAGAAGCUGUACAACUGUAGUCUGAUGAUACACUACGUCAAGGUUGUCGAGGUGUGCACCAACACCUGGUGCUUGCCUGGCUGCCAGCGUUGCGAGGAGGUGUACAUUCCCGUCGUGCAGGACUUCAAGGCGGUGCAGAUGGUGCUGGCGUCGCCGAGAAUGCUGACAGACCACUUCCCUGACCGUCUCUUUCGCAUUAUGCAGAGGUCGAUGGAGCUCUUCGACAAGGGCGAGCUUGAUCGCUUCUACGUGGACGACAUAUCAAACCUAGCCCCGUGCUUGGAGGAGGCCCCGAUGCACUACGUGGAGAGCACGCCGAAUACGACGGAGACUGCCUCGCUCAUCAGUUACGGCGCCGCGUAGUGCGGCACUGGCCACCCCUGCUUAAGUGCACCAUCUCUCCCGCUGUCUCUGAUGGUGAAUGCGUCGGGCGCCAGUGAUCAAAAGUUCUGUGGCGUCGUCUCGCGUGUUACCGGCAUCCUCCCUCCCGACCCGAUCCCUUGCCUUCCACACUGCCCACGUGACUCUCUGUCCGGACGGCCAACGAACUUCUGGAGCGCGUGGAGAGGAGUGCAGCGCCUUUUGUCACGCUCACCUUCUUCGACCUCGCUCUUCCUUACCCGUGUCUUUGCUGCGGGCCUGUUUUGCAUUAUAGGUUUGCGUCUGUCUGAUGCUGCUGCUGGUUAUCUUUCUGUAUGCGUCUUGUUGCGCGUGCUAUCUUGCAGUGAGCGGGCUCGGCCCGCUCCAAUCGCCCGUUUGACCUUCGUUUUUUUUUUCUGCGCAGCGCGUGCUGCUGUUUCGCAGAGUCUCUCGAUGUGUACGCGUUGUAAGGAGCUGCUAGGAAUCGUAGGAAUUCCCGCUUCGUCCUCAUGCUUCAUCCCUUCAUUCC